AAUUAUAAAAAUUAUUUAGUUUUUCUGGUGUAUUUGAAUUUUAUUUUUAUAAAACUUUAUUAAAAUAGAAAUUAAAAUUUUAUAUUCUAAAUUUUAUUAUAAAAAAUAAAUAUUAUUUAAAUAUUCAUUAUAAAAAAUAAAAUUUUAAUUAUACCUAUUUAUAUUCCUCUUAUAAGUUAAAUUAUAAGUAUUAUUCAUAAAUAUUCAAUAAAAAAUAAAUUAUAUAAAAAUUAGUAAAAAAAUUUAAAUAUAUUUUAAAAUUAUUUUAAAACUAAAGAACUAAGUAUUAUAACUGACUGUUUUCUAAAAACAUUUUUUUAUUAAUUUAAAAUAUUUCUGCUCACUGUUUUUAUAAAUAGCAGUUUUAGCGUGAUUACUUAAAAGUAGCAAAAUCCAUAGAUCUUUAAAAGAGUUCUUGACUGAAAGAAAUAACUGUUAUAAUUUUUUUUAUUUUUAAUUAUUGAAAUUAUAUAAAUUUUGAAAAUAAAAUUUUUUAAUUUAUUACGAGAAGACCCUAAGAUUUAAAAAUAAAUUAUUAUAACUUAAAUUGGGUUUUUAAAUUAAUAAAUUUUUUAAAUUUUCAAUAUAUUUAAUUUAAAUACCUUAGGGAUAACAGCUUAAAAUCUCCUUUAUUUAAAGGGGUAAUAUGACCUCGAUGUUGACUUAAAAAAAUAAAUUUAAAAAAUUUUUAAUUUAAACUGUUCGUUUUUAAUUAUUUGUGAGCUGAGUUUAAAACACUGAAAAGUAGUUUGGUUUCUAUAAAAAUAGUAUUGAUUGUAAUUUUUUAGUACGAAAGGACUUAAAAUACUUUGUUUUAUAAUCUUAAAUUUAAAAUUUAA
RNAcentral lists this ribosomal RNA (839 nucleotides) under Romanomermis culicivorax. RNAcentral's name for it is "large subunit ribosomal RNA". The record is from RNAcentral. Lineage: Eukaryota; Metazoa; Nematoda; Enoplea; Mermithida; Mermithidae.